CAACCCUCAAGCCCCCGGGCUUGGUGUUGGGGAUCGGCGAGCCUCCGCGCCCGCCGUCCCCUAAAUCUAGUGGCGGUCUCGCUGUAGCUUCCUCUGCGUAGUAGCACACCUCGCACUGGGAAACAGCGCGGCCACGCCGUUAAACCCCCAACUUCUCAA
This 159-nucleotide unclassified non-coding RNA is filed under the name Dactylonectria macrodidyma. Its description in RNAcentral is "partial internal transcribed spacer 2". The record is from RNAcentral. Lineage: Eukaryota; Fungi; Ascomycota; Sordariomycetes; Hypocreales; Nectriaceae.